GUUUAUGAUUAACAAUUUUCUUGUUAGGUUCAGUCAGAAUAGUUAAAAUGUUGCCCAGUCCGCGCCCCGAAGGGUUAAGAAAGAGCACCGGGCAGGCCAAGAUUCUCCCGAGGGAAAAAAUAGCCACGCCCAGGGCGGAUGAACCCCCCAAAGGGAGGCCCACCCAUAAAAACAGUGCACAAGAUAAAAAGAAGAGAAAGCCCCCAAAGAGAGCUCCCCCGCAUUUUUAAUGAUCCUUCCGCAGGUUCACCUACGGAAA
RNAcentral lists this unclassified non-coding RNA (259 nucleotides) under uncultured fungus. RNAcentral's name for it is "sequence contains ITS1". Lineage: Eukaryota; Fungi. The record is from RNAcentral.